Molecule: ribosomal RNA, 777 nt
Filed under: uncultured Neocallimastigales
Lineage: Eukaryota; Fungi; Neocallimastigomycota; Neocallimastigomycetes; Neocallimastigales
Description: partial large subunit ribosomal RNA
Rfam family: Eukaryotic large subunit ribosomal RNA
Source: RNAcentral
GUACACGCUGUGACUAGCAUAUCAAUAAGCGGAGGAAAAGAAACUGACAAGGAUUCCCUCAGUAACGGCGAGUGAAGCGGGAAGAGCUCAAAUUUGAAAUCUUGAAAGGUCACCUUUCACGAAUUGUAGUUUAAAGAAGUGUUUUCUGUUACGAUCGUAAUAUAAGUUCUUUGGAAUAGGACAUCACAGAGGGUGAGAAUCCCGUCUAUGAUUGCGAUUUGUAGCUUUGUGAUACACUUUCAAAGAGUCGGGUUGUUUGGGAAUGCAGCCCAAAACGGGAGGUAAAUUUCUUCUAAGGCUAAAUAUUGGCGAGAGACCGAUAGCGAACAAGUACCGUGAGGGAAAGAUGAAAAGAACUUUGAAAAGAGAGUUAAACUAGUACGUGAAAUUGUCAAAAGGGAAGCGUUUGGACACCAGUGUUGUUUUCUCGAAAAUCAAUUAAAAAUGGCUCGAUUUUGUAUUGCUUGAGACCUUAAAAGCUCACUGUACAUUUUUCGUGUCUUUUUUAAUGCACUUUUCGUUUAACAAGUCAACAUCAGUUUCUUUUGUUGUAAAAGGGUCAUUGGAAGGUGGCUUUCUUUUCGGAGAAAGUGUUUAUAGCCUUUGGCCUCUGCAAUCGGAGAGACUGAGGUCUGCAGCGUAGACUCUUCGGGGUUAGAUACAUUUGUGCUAAGUUAUAGCUUUUUAUAGACAACUUGUUGACUAUAAUUAGUCUUGUAGCUUACUCGCUUAUGCUAUUUUACCUACGCUUAGGAUGUUGAGUAGCGACAUACGCAC